RNAcentral lists this long non-coding RNA (12694 nucleotides) under Capsicum annuum. Its description in RNAcentral is "long non-coding RNA (CANN_LNC005810)". The record is from RNAcentral. Lineage: Eukaryota; Viridiplantae; Streptophyta; Magnoliopsida; Solanales; Solanaceae.
UUGUUUGAUUUUAUGAAAUCAAGAAGCUCGGGAUUAAACACGGUGUUUAUUUAUAUCGAAUUUCGAUUCAAUUUAGUCAAUUCAUUAAAUUUGGACCUUAAUUGAAAUCAAUUCGGCCAUAAUUGCAAUGCAAUUGGUCAAAUGAAUUUUAAUUAGGCUAGAUUUUAAAUGCAAUUGUCUAAAUUUUCCCUUUCUGGCCAUUUAAUAAAUAGCCAAAAUAGCCUGACCUAUCCAAUCCCUAAAUUAAUUGGGAAUCUAAUCGGGGUUAUUAAAUAACCCCAAUCUUGAACCAAUUAAAUUAAUCCCAUUAAUAGGCCAAUCAACCAAAUCCCCAACAUUGACCCAACUCAAUUAAUAACCCCCGGCCCAAAACAUCCUCCUGACUCGGCCCGAUCCACCUUUAUCUUCUCCUCCACCAAUGAUACAAACACAACAACAACAGUUCGACGCCAUCAACAACCCGGCCAACUCCAAAUACCCGAUUCCAUCAACCCCAACCCAUCUAUUUUUCUUCACACGCAUCUUACGCAUCCGUAGGACAAGAAAAGGAUUCAAAAAUCUUCUAGAACGAGCUGUCCCCCCCCCCCACAACGGUUCGAUUCCGCGAUUUUCGGGUGUAAUUGUACAAUUUCGUACAUGUAUGUCACAAUUUCAUUGCCUCAUGGUGAAAAUUCAUUUUCCCCCAAUCUCAUUGGUCCACCAAUUUCAAUGCUGGUACGUUUGUUGAUGAAACCCCAAGCCAAAGGAGAAAUUCGAAUUGAAAUUCGAAGAUACCUUAUUUUUCAAGUCCCGAAAAUACCCCCAAUUCGUCUUUUAUAUAAGAAACGAUUGGGUCACUGUUUUAAAAGGAGAUUUUGGGGGGGUUCGAAACUUUGGGGUGUUCAAAAAUUCUUGAAAGGUUUUGGGGGGAUUUUUCUCUUCUUUCCAGGUUGGAGAUUCUAGAAUUGGAAAUUCUUUAGAAAAAUUCUAGGGUUAGGAACUUCAGUGCAAAAGAUUUUCUAAGAGCUAGCUAGGUCGGAAAAGGGAGGUUAGAAAAUUUCGUAGAAAUCUUGAGGUUGGAAAUCUUCGAUUCAAAAAAGCAAAGGAAAAGCACAGAAAAGAGGGGUUGAGAGAAGAGGGAACAGUUCCUUAGCAAAAAAUCUAGAGAAAGCGGUGCGCUGGUUGAGAUUUUGUUAAAGACAUCAACUUUCCGGUGGUCGUGAUCUCCCUACCCGCUCGUCGUCUCAUUUUUCUGCACUUAAAGAGGUAAAUACACCCUGUUUUCCCUUCAAUUUGACCAUUUUUCUUCUUCGUCUCUUUUUUUCGUAGCUGAUGUAGUCGUAUUCGUGAUCUUGUAUGUUGGGUUUAGCUGUUGUAGAGGUCUUGUAAGACCAUAGGAUACGUUGGAUGAAGGAAUGUUUGUCAUGUGAUUAUGUUUGAUGCUAAACUCCAGGUUCAGUCGUCAAAAAUUUUGGUUUUCAGUCUCAUUGGCGCUGUCUUAAUUUCAUAAUCGGUUAUCUAUUUUGGCAUCGCUAAUUAGCUUCCAAUUUGCUGAUUUGUAUUUUAUAUUGCUUCUAAGUUUGACUUACUGAGUUCGAUAGAGAUUCUUAUUUCAAUUUUUCGCUUGACUGGCUUGUUGAAUGUUUGUUUUGUUCGAGUAGUCGCCCUUCUGCUUAGCUGGUAAUAUCACUAGCAGGACCACUUUUGCGAGUUUCUUUGGCUUAUCAAAUGUCAAAGAGAAUGACCAAAAUGUGUCCAACAAUGAAAGGUCGCCAAGAGAUCCUAGAAUCUCCUCGACGGCCAUUUCGUUUGAGUCUAUCAAAAUAAGGAGGAGAACAAAAGAUAUUGUAUCUCAUUGGCUCCUUUCUUUAGUUUAUUGAUGUGUUUCCCUUUUAGUAAAAUUUUGAAGAUUGAUUCUUUGCUUUGGAUUCAUUUCAAGCCAGUAGUCUUGUUUGUUUGAAGUCCAUGAAAGAAUAAAAUGGCUUUGUUGAAGAAUAUUAUACAUGAGAAUGGAUUUGGUCUUGUCGAUGUCCAAAAUCAUUGCUAUGUGUGCAUUCUCCCUCAAGGAUGGCUCGUAUAUUUCUUUUAGUUAUUAAUUUCAAGGUCUAAAACUCUUGAGGUUUUGUAAGACCAUAGUUGGAGAAUAGCCGUAUUCGACUCUCAAGCUUGCUGUUUGGAAUAAUGGAAAUUCGGGAGGCUGUUUUGCACUAUCGCGACUUUAAGUAGUUUGAGGUUUAUUUGGAGUAAAAGAGGAACUUCUGGGGAUUUUCUUUUCUUGAAUUUUCUAUUAUCUAUUUUGAGGCAUUUGUUUGUAUAAUUUAACGCGACUCACGAGGUCUUUUUAAUUCGAUGAUAUUAAAAGAGACUAGGAGUUUGCCAUAGAGCUAUGAUAACAAUCCACGAAAUCUCUAAUAAACCUUGGUUUAUGUUUGUUGACACCUAAUUUUUGCCCUUCACGACGAAAUUUAAUCCUGAGUUUCUUUGAUUUUUAAUAAAAUUAAAAUAUUUAUUUCAUCCGAAUAAAAAUUUAUUAAAUAUAUUUGUACGUAAUUUUUUCAUUUUAAGUAGUGAUUAUAAUUUAUCAUAGUCAAUUAUACUAGAUGUUAUAAUUUUGUUACUUAAAUAUUUAUUUUAUAAAAUAUAAUAUUAGAUUCGAGGCUUAGAGAUUCAAAUGAUUAAAGUUUUGAUUUAAAUAUAAUUUACUCUCAAAAACUAAUUUAUUCGGAUAAAUAUGUGUUUGAUUUUAUAAAAUCAAGAAGCCUAGGAUUAAAGAAAGCAUUAAUUCGCAUCAAAUUUCAAUUUAAUUUAGUCAAUCUAUUAGAUUUGGCCAUAAUUGAAAUCAAAUUAGCCAUAAUUGUAAUGCAAUCCGUCAAUUGAUUUCUAAUUUGGUCAAAAUUAAAUAAACAUGGCUAAAUUUUUAAUCCCAAUUGGGGUUAUAUUUUAAAUAACCCCAAAAUUCUCAAAAAUUCUCAUAACUUCUACCUAAUUCCAUAAGAAAAUAAUUUCAAAUUGUACUACAUUAUACUAUUUUCCCCCAACAUUGUCUUUUCCCAAUUUUGAAAUUCAAAAGUUGUACUACAUUGUACAAUUUUCCCUCACAUUAUCUUCCACCUCACCUUAUCUUCAAUUUUAAAAUUUCAAAAAGACCCUUAAUUGAUUUUUCUCCCACAUUGGUGGAUGACAAGAAAUAAAUCCUUAUCCUUUCCUAUAAAUAUUUUUCUCCCACAUUGGUGGAAGAGAGGAAAAAAAAUUCUCAUUCUCUCCUAUAAAUACUACCAUUACUUUGGUAGAAAAGGGGGGAAAAGGAAGGAAAAAAAAAGGCUAGAAAGGUCAAAAAAUUCUUUUUGAGCAAAAUAGUUAUUUUUAUAUAGUAAAAAAUUUUGUUUCAUAGAGUUGGUCGGCUAAUCAAAAAUUUCAAUUCGCCGGAAAAUACUUUUAAAGAAAAAUAGUUAUUUUUAUAAAAUAAAAAUUUUUGUUUCAUAAAGUUGGUCGGCUAAUAAAAAAUUUCAAGUUGCCGGCGACGUUUUUUGGUGGUGGUUGAUUCCGACGAAGCUCGUAGUCUUGUUUUGCUGCCCCCAAAAAGAUAAACACAUCUUUUUUUAAAAAGUUUUUAUUAUCGUUUUCUUCUUCAUAGUUCGUAGAUAUAAUUUUGUUUGCUGGGAUUGUAUGUUAUAGAUGGCCUUAAAGACCCUAGGACGUUGUGGUAUCGAUAUUCUAAUUAUUUUCAUGUCCAUGAUAUAAAAAUGAGCUAACAAUAGUUGUAUGUGUCUCUUUUUUUUUAACUUUAUUCUUUGAUUAUUUUGGAUAAAGUUUCAAUCUUUGCUUAAAAUAUGUAUUUAUGCUUUGUUUAAACUCAUUGUUGUUGGAUAUAUUUGUUUUUAGCAUUUAAAGUUAUUUUCUUUAUGUUGAAAAGAAUAGUUAAUGUUGAAUGUUUCGCUUUUUCACCUUAUUCUUUGAUUAUUUUAGAUAAAGUUUAGAUCUUUGCUUGAAAAACAUAAUCAUGUCUUGUUUAAACUCAUUUUUGUUGAAUAUGUUUAUUUUUAGCAUGUAAAAUUAUUUUUUUUAUGUUGAAAAGAAUAGUUAAUAAUGAUUGUUUUGCCUUUUGACCUUAUUCUUUGAUUAUUUUGGAUAAAGUUUAGAUCUUUACUUGAAAAGUCAUACCCAUAUCUUGUUUAAACUCANNNNNNNNNNNNNNNNNNNNGUGCUAAAAUUAUUUUUCAUCCACGAUGUUUAUUCCUCUUUUUCGCAUGUUUUCAAAUUUGUCAAAAUGGUGAGAAAGUUCAAAUUUUUAUGGCUAAAUAGAAUUAUUUAGAUAUUUUCAAGUCAUGGAUAGUAUGAUUGUGAAACAAUAUUUCAUUUUUAGAAAUGCUAAACUUUUUUCUAAUUUUCUUGCGCCCUUUGGAUAGUUAUAUGUGCUCUUUGUGAGUGUAAAGACUUGAUUCGUGUCUCUCAUUAAUUCAUAAUAUCAAAGGACAAUCAACGAUGUCUUAGAAAUAUAAACCAUAGGUCAUAACACGUUUUUUUUCAUAAAAUUUUGGUUGUAAUUUAGAUGUAUGAAUUUUCGUUAAUGUCGCCUUAAUUGAAAUUAAAGAUUCUCUUGCUUGAAAAGUUAACCUUUAUUUUCUUUUGUUAUAUGGAUUAGUAUCUAUGUUUGUUCAAUUUUAGAAGUCAUGAGUAUUUUUCUUGUUGCCUUAUCCCUUUACUUUCGCAAGCUUACGUUGUUUGUUUCUUGNNNNNNNNNNNNNNNNNNNNNNNNNNNNAACAUAAAUGAUGAGGCAUGUAAGUGGGGGUCUUUGCUUUGCAUUUAAUUUGUUGACUCUCAUUCUUGUGCAAGUGUGCUUAUCAUUGUCAUUCAAAAUUGGUUCUUGAUAUUUUCUUUUGUUUUGAAAUAUGUCACUUUUAUGCCUUGAACGUAUAUUAAUUUCUUUAUCUUUUCUUUGCAUGCAAAAAAAAAUGUCUCGAGUCCAAAUGGAUUCCUCUCCUCUUGCAUUUUGUAAUGGGCAAUGAGGUCUACCACUUCGAGUCAAGUUCGAAGUUUAAACCCGAGGUCCACUACAUGGCGUGCGGGUGCUAGAGGAUAGACGAAGAAGGAAAAUGGGUCAAAACUCAUUGAUGAGGUCAUUAAGAGACUUGAAAAGUCUCAAUUUUUUUUAUUAUCUUCUUUUUAUUUAUUCAUUUAGUCAUUUAUUUAUUCAUUCAUUUCGGCCUCGAAGCCAAAGUUGUGUUUAAUAUAGGUGAAGCAAGACUCGAGCCAGAGGCUCGAAAAUUAGUUUAGGACAGGUAAAAUGGGUCGGAAGCCCAACUAGACUAGGACAGUUCUCGUUGAUUUGGGCUCAAUGACCUAAAUCAUUUACUUUCUCCUCCCUUCCCCUUUUAUGUGUUUAUUUAUUUAUUAGUUUUGUUUAGACUUAAUUAAAAUCCCUACUAAAUCGCCUAAAUCUAUUUUACACAAGUCUUUUAAAAAAAAAAAAAAUCACAUCACUAUUUUCACCAAAUCACUAUUUUAACAAAUUAAUCUUUUCAGAAGUUAAUCAAAAAAUGUUUUCAAACAGUCCGGAUAACUGCAAGUUAGUGAAUGUUUUAGGUGCCUAACACCUUCCUAAAACAUUAAUAGGAAUCGCUUAUCUAGAAUCUCCAACUUAAAACGAUUUUUCUGUUUUGAAUCAUUUGAAGUAACUCUCUAAAGGUUUCUUAAUUCCUUUCCAAAAUUAAGUGGCGACUCUUCUCAAAAAGUCAAAAUUUCUCAUCAAAACAAAAAUGGCGACUCUGCUGGGGAUUUGUAACUAGAUUCUAACCAAAUGUUUGAUUUCGUCUUUUGAUUAACUGUUUAUGUAUUUAUAUGUUUCGAUUCUGUAAAGUUUAACUAUCGCAUUUCAUGGCAUAUUCCUGCAUUAUUUAAACUGUUUUGGGGUUUCAUGGAUGUCCCGGCCCUGUUGUUCAAUUCCAAAAUGUGUUGGAAAUACGAACGGCUUAUUAGCAUGUGAGUCAUUUGAUGGCUGUUCGUAUUUUCUAACUCAAGUUGUCCACUUGAGAACCAAUGUUCCAACCUACUCUAGACACCUAGGAUAGAAAAAAAUCAAAACCCUAUUUUAGGCAUGAACCUAGGACGACCCAAUACCCUAGCGAGGUAUUGGGCCCAUUAGAAAAUCUGCCCUGCAUCUAUUGACCCCAAGUCAAUUAUAGACGAACCAUAUUUAUGCGUUGAAGAAAAUGUAUGCCUGGUUAAUUCAAUCCAUUAUCCUUUGGGGGUCGGGAAAAGGCUAGAUUUGCUUACUUUUGUAAGAAGAAUUGAAGCAAGUUAAGCAAGAAACUGAUCAAUUUGGUAGGUUGUAUUUAAGACACAGUUUGAACUCAACGGAUGUCACCAAUAUAAGAAAUGGAUGAAGCUAAGAAGGGGAAUUCUGAUAGAAAAAGCACUCAGGAAUUAGUAUUUUCUUAUCCCCUGUGUGGGAGCAUAUCUUCUUUUAUGUUAUUUCCCUUUUCCUAAAGAUUGUAUUCCUCUUUCGUUAUCUUUUGUAGGCAUUUAUGCCCUUUUAGUGUCUAUAAAAGUUGGGGGAUAAUGGAUUGACCUUAAGCAAGCAUAUAUUUUUUCUUCAAAAAUCGUUAGGCCCAAACCCUUGACUCAAAAGGGUCACCCAAUUAGGAUGCACGUUUAUUACAAUAUGCUUGUGUAAUAUAAUUAUUUAUGUGCUUAUACGUGUUAUGCUGAUUCGAAUCAAAGGCGAACUAAUCCAAUCCCAUUUUCCAUAGAACAUCUCUAAGUAGAAAUAUACCCCACAAUACAAAAGUCCGACUAAAAGUACUCCAAGUCUCCCAAGUUUCUCAGAAAAGUCCAUAGUCAUUCUUAAAACUUCCAAAAUGAUCGCUACCAUUUUAGGAAAGUUGACUUUAGAAUCAAAAAAAGUUGUUAUAGUUUUGAACUACGUAGGGCCUGAUUUCUCCUCCGUGAGAUACGUAGGCAGUCUUUCGUCCCGGACCAUAUCUCCAAAAGCUCUAUUUCCCUCCACUUUCUUGAAGGAAGAAGAAGAGUUGAACCUUCCUGACAAAUUCCACCUAUCCAUAUCAUUGAGCAAAAUCCUGUUCAUUGAAAUCCUCGAGUCAUCAUUAUUUCAUGGAUCAAUUCGCAUGAGAUGAGAAACAACUCUGUGUGUUUACUUCCUACCUUAUCAUCUUGGUUUACUUAUUACUAAUGGAAUCUAACACAUCAGUGUUUGAGUUGUUUUUACUUUGCAGGUAAUAGAAACUACUCUGUGUUGGCACAAAAUAACCCUACUUCACCAGAUCCAAAUGAAUAAGAGAUCCACUUCUUGACUAUAGUUUUGUUACAGGAAAAGAAAAAUGACUAGUAGUAAAACUGGACUCUACCAAUCAUUUUUCAACCUUGUAAGCGAUAGUCUCGAGGAUGGAAUAAGGGAAAAUAUGAGGAAAGAAUUUUCCAAGACAAUCGGAAUCAUGGAAGAUUAAUUGGAGGAAACAUUAUUGAAUUGGACCUCCACUCCACUCAUGACUCAUCACCCAUCGUAUAACAGUAACUUAAAACCUGCCAUUGUCAUGUCAUGUCAAGAAUAAAAAUAAUGGUAGCCCUAGAACAGUCAACAAAAGAGUCAAAGAGUUCGAGAAUCAAAGAAGCCUAAUCUAGAGGAAACCGAGGUGGUUAACUAGGAAGGCGAUGACUCCAUUGGACAUUUGAUCCUUUGUUCUAUCAAGACAAAUGCAACACAAACGUCAUGUCAUCCAUAGAAGUACUUAUUUAUGUCCUAGUAAGAUGGGUAAGAGUAUUUUUAGGGCCAUUAUGAGUUUAUGUACGAACAACAUUUGACCUGAAUUCCCAAAAAGGGAUACUUAGGCGGCCUAUGUCGGCUUCUGUCAACCCCUUAGGAAAAUUUAUCAUUUCCUUUUAUGUACAAAUUACGUUUGACCUGAAUUCCCAAAAAGGGAUACGCAGGCGGCCUAUGUCGGCUUUGGUCAACCCUUUAGGAUACUUUAUCCUUUCCUUUUAUGUAUAAACUACGUGAUGACUUGAAUUCCCAACAAAAGGGAUACGUAGGCGGCCUAUGUCGGCUUCGAUCAACCCAUUAGAUUUUUUUAUAUAUUCUUAGCGUAGUCUUGAACUAUGUUUGACCUGAUUCCUUCUUCAACGGGAUACGUAUGCACCCCAACGGCUCGGUCAUAUAAUCCCAGGAAAUGGAAAUUGGGGCAAAAUUUUUGAGAAGGAAUCUCAAAAAUUCACAAGGGAAGAUCAACAUCCAACAAGGAGAACGAAGACCAACAAAGACUUUGGAUCUUCUCGAGAUGAUAUUAUCUCAGACUACUUUAAACGGGGGCAGAAAUUUUGAUGAGGUCCUCAAAAUUUCCACUAGUAUAUUGAAAUAUAUUUCAAAUUCUCCAGCACUAGAGGUCGAAGUUGAGAUUUGAGAAUCACCACCUGUGAUAAAGUCUAGGAAAACUGAAUCUCUGUCUUUGAUAAAACUUCUUGUAGAGAGCCUCGACAAUGUUGAAUCCCUAGCAAUCCUCCAUCAAACAUUGGAAAUUGUCAGAAUUAAGAGAAAGAUAGUCGUUGAGCUAGCACAUGACAUGACUGGUAGAGAUUUUCUAAAGUUUUGCUGGAGUUUUCAAAACUAUUUUCUAAAAAUUAAGACGACUUUAAAACAUCUAUAUAAAUCUUUUACUUAAUGAUUGUCUAGGCAUCAAUUAAGAUGGGGAGUCAAGGGUGAAAGUCCCAAUAUAACGAAGUACCCAAAAGAUGGCGUAGAGAAAAUGGAGAAUCGAAGAAAGUCAACAUGGAGUAGUUUCACUCAAACUAAUCAUUUUUCUGUGGAUCGGGGACCAAUACAAAAAAAUGAGAGUCUCUUUCAAAAAUCUCCGAGCAAAUUGGGAGCCACACCAGAGCACUAAUGCUCAAGAACAAAAUUUUUGGGUAGCCCUAAAAAUGGGUUUAAUACCCAUUUAUUGAGGACCUUUUGAAUUGUCCAUCUCAUUUCUUGAGAUCAUGGAGGACAAACAAAAUUGUCUUGUUUUUUUUACAAAUAUUGUAUUUAGAAUUUUUCUAAAAUAUAUAGUCGCUAGCAAAAGCAACUUUAUGUCUACUAAUCAUCUACCUUGAGUACAGGUACAUUUAGAAAGCAAGACGCAGACAAACAAUCUCAGGUGCAACUAUUUUUAAAUUGCCAAGAGGGCCAUUCAUAUCAUUGCCAAGAGGGUCAUUUCAUAGCAUUGCCGAGAGGGCCAUUUCAUAUCAUCGCCGAGAGGGCCAUUUCAUAUCAUUGCUGAGAGGGCCAUUCAUAUCAUUACCAAGAGGUUCAUUCGUAUUAUUGCCAAGAGGGACAUUUUAUAGCAUUGCCAAGAAGGCCAUUCAUAUCAUCACCGAGAGGGCCAUUGCAUAUUAUUGCCAAGAGGGCCAUUCACAUUAUUGCCAAGAGGGUCAUUCAUAUCAUUGCCAAGAAGGCCAUUUCAUAGCAUUUCUAAGAGGGCCAUUCAAAUCAUCGCCGAGAGGGCCAUUGCAUAUUAUUAUCAAGAGGGUCAUUCAAUAUCUGUUGACACGCAAGACAUAAACACUGGCGUCGAGGAUAUCAUCAGUAUUUUAUAUCUAUUGACAUGCAAGACAUAAACACUGGCAUCGAGGAUAUCAUCACCAUUCAAUAUCUAUUGAUACUCAAGACAUAAACGCUGGCGUCGAGGAUAUCAUUAACAUUCAUUAUCUGUUGACAUGCAAGACAUAAACGUUGGCAUCAAGGAUAUCAUCAACAUUUCAUAUCUGUUGACAAGCAAGACAUAAACACUAGCGAUGAGGAUAUCAUCAACAUUUCAUAUCUGUUGACACUCAAGACAUAAAUGUUAGGGUCGAGAAUAUCAUCAGCAUUUAAUAUCUAUUGACACGCUAGACACAAACGUUGGUGUCGAGGAUAUCUCAUCAUUUUAUGAAUCAGCAUCUGAAUGCAUCAAGAGCACACGAUUUUAAGGAAUUCCUUUAAGUCGGUGUCUAAAGACGGAUGAUUUAUGAGAUUUCCUAGAAAUUGACAAUUUGAGGGUCAUCUAUAAGUCAUAUUAUUUGAAAUAGGAUAGUGUUCAAGAUCACCUAUGAGUUGAUAGCCUGUAGGUCAUCCGUAAGCAACAACAACAUCCUAACCAAAUAGUGUGGAAGAUCGCCCAAAAAUUAAUAGUUUGGAGGUUAUCCAUAAGUCGCAACUAAAUCCUUACCGGAGAAUAUGUGAGAUUAUCAAAUUAAUACGUCCAAGGGUUAUCUAUAAGCUGCAUCAUAUCCAAGAUCGAUUAUGUGCAGGAUUACCCAAGGACUACCAAUUUGAGUAAUAUCUAUAAGUCAUAUUGUAUCCAAGGUCGGAUGAUGCGCAGGAACACCUAAAAGCUAGCGAUUUGAAGGAUAUAUGUAAGCCAUCUCUUAUCCAAGGUUGGAUAAUGUGCAGGAUUAUCUAAAAGCUAGCAAUUCAAAGGAUAUCUGUAAGUCGCCUCGUAUCCGACAUCAAAUAAUGUGCAAGAUUAUCCAAGAUUGACAAUUUGAGGAAAAUCUAUAAGUUAUAUCGGUACAAAAGAUGUGCAGGACUUACCUGAGAUCAUAUGCAAAAAAUUACUAUCAAUAACCGGAGAUGUUAUCAUGCCACAUACGACAAGCACUAUAGGUGACUCAAAAGGGUUGCUACAUCAGCGCAAGAUUAAGCGGUUGCAGGGACCGUUCUGCAUAAAGUGUCGUUGAUGUCCAAGAGAGACACCCACUUUGAAGACAUAUUCAACCGAUAAAUAAGAUAAUUAUGCAACGACCAAGAGAGUUGUUGUGCCUAUUAUUGCAAGUUAUUUCCUUCUAAAUAGGUGCAUGAAAGGGAUGACUUUGCUUUUCAGGAAAUAACUCACACGGGGAUAUGGUAAAGACUAUAUACCUCUUUCGUGAAUUAUGUUUAGCACUAACACUUUUUGUUUGAAACACUGUCGAGAGCAUCCGAGAGAGUGAAAAUCUCAAAUCAAAACCACAGGGGCGGACAACUCCAGAUAGGACGCAGUACAACGUGGAACUCUUUCUUACCAGCAAAACGGAACAUAGUCUAAAGAGGGAUGUCAAACUCUUUGGAUGAGAGCUAAAGGAUGAUCACCACCACCAUCCAACCACACCCCUAUUAGAAGGCAUGUGGGUAGUUUGAGAUAUUUGGGUUUCAGCUUCACCUUUGGUAUAUCUCUAAACUCAUACCGAGGGUAAACUUUUCUUUCUUUCAAUUCGGGUGGCAACACACUUAGAGUUUUGGAAUUAUGUCCAAGUAAGUUCUUACCUAUGGAUGUGAAGGAUCCCACAUUCAUGGUUAAGAGUUUACAAGCUUCUUUUCCGCAACUCGAUCAACUUGUCACCCAUUUCGAGCCAAAGAUAGUCUAAAAUAAAAGACUAUAUUUUCUAUCGAUUGAGUCAAACUAUAGGCAGUCUGAUUCCCUGAGUCUCAGGGAUAUUUAGGCUCAGCUCUAUGUAGAAAACUCAAUUACAUUCCAACCUCCUCCCCAAAUCCCUCCAUUUCCUAGCUUUUCAGUCGACAAAAACUCUAAAAAAACUAGGAUAGCUGGUGAUUUUUUUUUGAAAAUCGUGCCUUAAAUCAAGUUUUAUGAACUACAAGUAGCCUGAAUUCUCUUGUAACCUGAGAUAUGUAGGAAACCCCACUUGGGUUCGGCCAUGACUCUAUGAGACUCAUGCAAAAGCCAACCUCUUUCAGUUUUGAAUUGUGGUCGGACAAAAAUUAGGAACGUCAACCUCCCUUUGCCCAAGGUUACUUGCAUUCACCCUACCCAAAAGGAAGGGGCAGUUGUUGACACCUAAUUUUUGCCCUCCACAACUAAAUUUAAUCAUGAGUUUCUUUGAUAAUAAAAUUAAAAUAUUUAUUUCAUCCGAAUAAAAAUUUAUGAAAUAUAUUUGUACGUAAUUUUGUCAUUUUAAGUAGUGAUUAUAAUUUAUUGUAUUCAAUUAUAUGAUAUUUUAUAAUUUUGUUAGUUAAAUAUUUAUUUUAUAAAAUAUUGGAUUUUAAUCAAGGCUUAGAGAUUCAAAUGAUUAAAGUUUUGAUUUAAAUAUAAUUUACUCUCAAAAAAUAACAAUUAUAUGAUAUUUUAUAAUUUUGUUACUUAAAUAUUUAUUUUAUAAAAUAUUGGAUUUUAAUCAAGGCUUAGAGAUUCAAAUGAUUAAAGUUUUGAUUUAAAUAUAAUUUACUCUCAAAAAAUAAUUUAUUAGGAUAAAUAUGUGUUUGAUUUUAUAAAAUCAUGAAGCCCGGGGUUAAAGGAAGCAUUAAUUCGCAUCGAAUUUCAAUUUAAUUUAGUCAAUCUAUUAGAUUUGGCCAUAAUUGAAAUCAAAAUGGUCAUAAUUGUAAUGCAAUCCGUCAAUUAAUUUCUAAUUUGGUCAAAAUUAAUAAAUAUGGCUAAAUUUUAAAUCCCAAUUGGGGUUAUAUUUUAAAUAACCCCAAAAUUCUCAAAAACUCUCAUAACUUCUACCUAAUUCCACAAAAAAAUAAUUUCAAAUAGUACUACAUUGUACUAUUUCCCCCCAACAUUGUCUUUUCCCAAUUUUAAAAUUCAAAAGUUGUACUACAUUGUACAAUUUCCCCCCACAUUAUCUUCCACCUCACCUUAUCUUCAAUUUUAAAAUUUCAAAAACACCCUUAAUUGCUUUUUCUCUCACAUUGGUGGAUGACAAGAAACAAAUCUUCAUCCUUUCCUAUAAAUACUUUUCUCCCACAUU